RNAcentral lists this ribosomal RNA (451 nucleotides) under uncultured bacterium. Its description in RNAcentral is "bacterial SSU rRNA". It matches the Rfam family "Bacterial small subunit ribosomal RNA", at positions 29 to 524 of the family's 1533-position model. The record is from RNAcentral.
AACGAACGCUGGCGGCAUGCCUAACACAUGCAAGUCGAACGAGACCUUCGGGUCUAGUGGCGCACGGGUGCGUAACGCGUGGGAAUCUGCCCUUGGGUUCGGAAUAACAGUUAGAAAUGACUGCUAAUACCGGAUAAUGUCUUCGGACCAAAGAUUUAUCGCCCAGGGAUGAGCCCGCGUAGGAUUAGCUAGUUGGUGAGGUAAAGGCUCACCAAGGCGACGAUCCUUAGCUGGUCUGAGAGGAUGAUCAGCCACACUGGGACUGAGACACGGCCCAGACUCCUACGGGAGGCAGCAGUGGGGAAUAUUGGACAAUGGGCGAAAGCCUGAUCCAGCAAUGCCGCGUGAGUGAUGAAGGCCUUAGGGUUGUAAAGCUCUUUUACCCGGGAUGAUAAUGACAGUACCGGGAGAAUAAGCCCCGGGCUAACUCCGUGCCAGCAGCCGCGGUAAU